RNAcentral lists this ribosomal RNA (380 nucleotides) under uncultured bacterium. RNAcentral's name for it is "bacterial SSU rRNA". It matches the Rfam family "Bacterial small subunit ribosomal RNA", at positions 790 to 1167 of the family's 1533-position model. The record is from RNAcentral.
GUAGUCCACGCUGUAAACGAUGGAUGCUAGCCGUUGGGAGGAUACCUCUCAGUGGCGCAGCUAACGCGUUAAGCAUCCCGCCUGGGGAGUACGGUCGCAAGAUUAAAACUCAAAGAAAUUGACGGGGACCCGCACAAGCGGUGGAACAUGUGGUUUAAUUCGAGGCAACGCGAAGAACCUUACCAGGACUCGACAUGCCCUCUAUGGACUUCCGAAAAGAAGUCCUUCACUUCGGGUGGGAGGAGCACAGGUGCUGCAUGGCUGUCGUCAGCUCGUGUCGUGAGAUGUUGGGUUAAGUCCCGCAACGAGCGCAACCCUCGUCCUCUGUUGCUACCAGGUAAUGCUGAGCACUCUGAGGAAACUGCCGGUGAUAAGCCGGA